GAAAUUGUCAUCACAACUAGGAGCAGAACUGAAUUCAAUCAGGCCGACACUGUGGUUUUUAAACCCCAGAACCAAAGUACUCCCAAAAACAAACCCGAAGAUGAAGUAGAUUCAAUGGGACAUUCUUCCUCU
Molecule: long non-coding RNA, 132 nt
Organism: Trichomycterus rosablanca
Lineage: Eukaryota; Metazoa; Chordata; Actinopteri; Siluriformes; Trichomycteridae
Exons: 3
Source: RefSeq, a predicted model, not a curated record